GAGCGCAGCUUUCUAUUAGUGACUGGU
This 27-nucleotide non-coding RNA is filed under the name Mus musculus (house mouse). Lineage: Eukaryota; Metazoa; Chordata; Mammalia; Rodentia; Muridae. The record is from RNAcentral.